CCUACGGGAGGCAGCAGUGAGGAAUAUUGGUCAAUGGGCGCGAGCCUGAACCAGCCAAGUAGCGUGAAGGAUGACUGCCCUACGGGUUGUAAACUUCUUUUAUAAAGGAAUAAAGUGAGGCACGUGUGCCUUUUUGUAUGUACUUUAUGAAUAAGGAUCGACUAACUCCGUGCCAGCAGCCGCGGUAAUACGGAGGAUCCGAGCGUUAUCCGGAUUUAUUGGGUUUAAAGGGAGCGUAGAUGGGUUGUUAAGUCAGUUGUGAAAGUUUGCGGCUCAACCGUAAAAUUGCAAUUGAUACUGGCAGCCUUGAGUACAGUUGAGGUAGGCGGAAUUCGUGGUGUAGCGGUGAAAUGCAUAGAUAUCACGCAGAACUCCGAUUGCGAAGGCAGCAUACCGGCGCUCAACUGACGCUCAUGCACGAAAGUGUGGGUAUCGAACAGGAUUAGAUACCCUUGUAGUC
RNAcentral lists this ribosomal RNA (460 nucleotides) under uncultured bacterium. RNAcentral's name for it is "partial 16S ribosomal RNA". It matches the Rfam family "Bacterial small subunit ribosomal RNA", at positions 338 to 795 of the family's 1533-position model. The record is from RNAcentral.